RNAcentral lists this non-coding RNA (28 nucleotides) under Cricetulus griseus (Chinese hamster). The record is from RNAcentral. Lineage: Eukaryota; Metazoa; Chordata; Mammalia; Rodentia; Cricetidae.
GCUUUCCCUCAGAUGCUGCAGAACUCAC